AGAGUUCAUUCCUGCUGCAGAGUUGUCCUUGGCUAGAAAGAUACCAUUGGUCACUCUCUGUUAUUGCUGCUGCUUUUCUCCUCCCAUAUCCACUGGGGUAUCUAAAAACCUCUGGACUGUGGGUCAAGAGACUGGGUGGGAGACAGGUUCCAAUGCUCAUAGUCAUGUGUUCAUGGACAAGGCAGUUUCCAUCUCCCAGCUCUGCUUCCUUAACAGUGAAGUGGAGACAGCCAUGUUUAUUCUUCCUACACAGCUCCUGACAGAUCCCAGCAACUUACAGAUGAAAGCAAGUGACCUUUCCUCAUUACUGUGAUGAAGUCUCCACCCCUGAGGAGCUAGAGUUUCAUCACCAUGAUGUGCGACCUAUGCACCGGCAUGAUGACUCACUACACGCACCACUGAGACCCCUCUUCUACAUGUGAUGAUGCACCCUCUCCCCUCUCCAUCACUCCAUAAAACCCUCCCAUCACUUUCCCUAGGGGAGAGACUGCUUUGAAGAAUGCUCCCAGUGUCCUCCUUACUUGAGCCAAGUAAUAAACCUCCUAUUAAUAAAAACCUG
This 559-nucleotide long non-coding RNA is filed under the name Homo sapiens (human). RNAcentral's name for it is "HSALNT0199286". The record is from RNAcentral. Lineage: Eukaryota; Metazoa; Chordata; Mammalia; Primates; Hominidae.